Molecule: unclassified non-coding RNA, 657 nt
Filed under: Hevea brasiliensis (rubber tree)
Lineage: Eukaryota; Viridiplantae; Streptophyta; Magnoliopsida; Malpighiales; Euphorbiaceae
Source: RNAcentral
GUUCAUUCAGGAAAUUUUGAUGCUUUUCCUGUUAGUGUAGAUCUUCUGCCUAAUUCAUCAAAGGUGAUAACCUUAUCUGGAAUCCCGACUUCUGUGGGGUCAGUAACAAUUCCAGGGUGUACUGUUCACUGUUUUGGUGUUAUUUCUGAACACCUUUUCGGGGAUGUUGAUAAUCUGCUUCUUGGUGCAGCACAAGGGCUUGUGCUUUCUGAUCCUUUCAGAUGUUGUGGGUCUCCAAGGCUGAGAAAUGUGUUGGUUCCAAAUAUUUCUGUUGUACCUCCAAUUCCAUUAUUAGUUUCUCAUGUUGUAGGUGGUGAUGGGACAAUAGUCUUGUAUGAAGGUGAAAUACGUGAUGUCUGGAUUAGUCUGGCUAAUGCAGGCACAGUUCCAGUUGAGCAAGCACAUAUCUCACUCUCCGGUAAAAACCAAGAUUCUGUAGUUUCAAUACCAUAUGACACCUUAAAGUCUGCACUUCCUUUAAAGCCUGGUGCAGAAGUAAUCCUACCUGUGACAUUGAAGGCCUGGCAACAUGGACCAGUGGACCCUGAUAUUACUGGUAGUAAGCUUGCCUCUGGAAGUGUGGGGAGGCAGUUAAAAGACGGUAGCAGCCCCACUUUGUUGAUUCAUUAUGCUGGCCCAACGACAGAUGCUGGAAAU